RNAcentral lists this ribosomal RNA (422 nucleotides) under uncultured bacterium. RNAcentral describes it as "partial 16S ribosomal RNA". It matches the Rfam family "Bacterial small subunit ribosomal RNA", at positions 360 to 774 of the family's 1533-position model. The record is from RNAcentral.
AAUAUUGGACAAUGGGGGCAACCCUGAUCCAGCCAUGCCGCGUGUGUAAAGAAGGUCUUCGUAUUGUAAAGCCCUUUAAGUUGGUAGGAAGGGUUUAAGGUAAAUACCCUAAAGUCUUGAUGUUCCCAACAGAAUACUCACGGCUUAACUCUGUCCUCGAUGCCGCGGUAAUACAGAGGGUGCAAGGGUUAAUCGGAAUUACUGGGCGUAAAGCGCGCGUAGGUGGUUCAGUAAGAUGGGUGUGAAAUCCCCGGGCUUAACCUGGGAACUGCUUUCAUAACUGCUGAGCUAGAGUACGGUAGAGGGUAGUGGAAUUUCCUGUGUAGCGGUGAAAUGCGUAGAUAUAGGAAGGAACACCAGUGGCGAAGGCGACUACCUGGACUGAUACUGACACUGAGGUGCGAAAGCGUGGGGAGCAAACA